UACGGGGGGAGCUAGCGUUGUUCGGAAUCACUGGGCGUAAAGCGCACGUAGGCGGAUGUGUCAGUCAGGGGUGAAAUCCCGGAGCUCAACUUCGGAACUGCCUUUGAUACAGCACGUCUUGAGUCCGAUAGAGGUGGGUGGAAUUCCUAGUGUAGAGGUGAAAUUCGUAGAUAUUAGGAAGAACACCGGUGGCGAAGGCGGCCCACUGGAUCGGUACUGACGCUGAGGUGCGAAAGCGUGGGGAGCAAACAGG
RNAcentral lists this ribosomal RNA (253 nucleotides) under uncultured bacterium. RNAcentral's name for it is "partial 16S ribosomal RNA". It matches the Rfam family "Bacterial small subunit ribosomal RNA", at positions 524 to 776 of the family's 1533-position model. The record is from RNAcentral.